This 74-nucleotide transfer RNA is filed under the name Phycisphaera mikurensis. Its description in RNAcentral is "tRNA-Arg". It matches the Rfam family "tRNA". Rfam says of the family: Transfer RNA (tRNA) molecules are approximately 80 nucleotides in length. RNAcentral also lists the same sequence under 1 other name. The record is from RNAcentral. Lineage: Bacteria; Pseudomonadati; Planctomycetota; Phycisphaerae; Phycisphaerales; Phycisphaeraceae.
GGCCGUUUAGCUCAGUUGGAUAGAGCAGCUGUUUCCGGAACAGCAGGUCGGUGGUUCGAGCCCACCAACGGUCA